Rattus norvegicus (Norway rat) is the source of this 63-nucleotide non-coding RNA. The record is from Rfam. Lineage: Eukaryota; Metazoa; Chordata; Mammalia; Rodentia; Muridae.
GGGGAUUUAGCUCAGCAGUAGAGCGCUUGCCUAGCAAGCGCAAGGCCCUGGGUUCAGUCCCCA